This 497-nucleotide ribosomal RNA is filed under the name uncultured bacterium. RNAcentral's name for it is "partial 16S ribosomal RNA". It matches the Rfam family "Bacterial small subunit ribosomal RNA", at positions 28 to 507 of the family's 1533-position model. The record is from RNAcentral.
GAUGAACACUGGCGGCGUGCCUAAUACAUGCAAGUCGAGCGAACAGACGAGGAGCUUGCUCCUCUGACGUUAGCGGCGGACGGGUGAGUAACACGUGGAUAACCUACCUAUAAGACUGGGAUAACUUCGGGAAACCGGAGCUAAUACCGGAUAAUAUAUUGAACCGCAUGGUUCAAUAGUGAAAGACGGUUUUGCUGUCACUUAUAGAUGGAUCCGCGCCGCAUUAGCUAGUAGGUAAGGUAACGGCUUACCAAGGCAACGAUGCGUAGCCGACCUGAGAGGGUGAUCGGCCACACUGGAACUGAGACACGGUCCAGACUCCUACGGGAGGCAGCAGUAGGGAAUCUUCCGCAAUGGGCGAAAGCCUGACGGAGCAACGCCGCGUGAGUGAUGAAGGUCUUCGGAUCGUAAAACUCUGUUAUUAGGGAAGAACAAAUGUGUAAGUAACUAUGCACGUCUUGACGGUACCUAAUCAGAAAGCCACGGCUAACUACGUG